Non-coding RNA from Paramisgurnus dabryanus, 428 nucleotides. The record is from RefSeq and is a predicted model, not a curated record. Lineage: Eukaryota; Metazoa; Chordata; Actinopteri; Cypriniformes; Cobitidae.
UCAGGAUUGAACAAGAAACAGACAGCAAGGGUUGUCAGGUCAGAAACAGAACGACACACAAACACAAGAAACUUCACAGGCAGAUCAACAUGCAAUUUGAAGACGUGUGAUGAAAUACAGAGAUGUGAAGUCGUGUGUCUUUCCAGAUGCCCAAAUCAUUCCCCCUUAAAAGAUGAGCCUGAAGAGGAGAUUUGGGAAGAUGCUGUUUCAUAAGUCGCUUUGCCAGAUCACCUGUGGUUGGGAUGUCUGCUAACAAGAUGCCUUGCUGGUCUGGGCGAGUUUAAAGUCUUACACAGACAGUCCAGAGGUUCUGAAGUCCAUCUUCGAUCUCAUUGAUGCUGUCAUCGUAUUAAGUACAGCAUGAGCCAGAAUGGAUGGGUGGUGGUGGCCAUAAGAAGACUGUCAACUAAAUCAACAACAAAAUUCAU